This 429-nucleotide ribosomal RNA is filed under the name Chloroflexota bacterium. Its description in RNAcentral is "Chloroflexi bacterium partial 16S ribosomal RNA". It matches the Rfam family "Bacterial small subunit ribosomal RNA", at positions 355 to 776 of the family's 1533-position model. Lineage: Bacteria; Bacillati; Chloroflexota. The record is from RNAcentral.
UGGGGAAUAUUGCACAAUGGGCGCAAGCCUGAUGCAGCCAUGCCGCGUGUGUGAAGAAGGCCUUCGGGUUGUAAAGCACUUUCAGCGGGGAGGAAGGCGUUAAGGUUAAUAACCUUGGCGAUUGACGUUACCCGCAGAAGAAGCACCGGCUAACUCCGUGCCAGCAGCCGCGGUAAUACGGAGGGUGCAAGCGUUAAUCGGAAUUACUGGGCGUAAAGCGCACGCAGGCGGUUUGUUAAGUCAGAUGUGAAAUCCCCGGGCUCAACCUGGUAACUGCAUCUGAUACUGGCAAGCUUGAGUCUCGUAGAGGGGGGUAGAAUUCCAGGUGUAGCGAUGACAUGCGGAGAGCUCUGGAUGUAUACCGGUGGCGGAGGCGGCCCCCUGGACGAAGACUGACGCUCAGGUGCGAAAGCGUGGGGAGCAAACAGG